ACAGCAGCAGCCGCGGUAAAACAGAGGGUGCGAGCGUUAAUCGGAUUUACUGGGCGUAAAGCGUGCGUAGGCGGCUUCUUAAGUCGGAUGUGAAAUCCCUGAGCUUAACUUAGGAAUUGCAUUCGAUACUGGGAAGCUAUAGUAUGGGAGAGGAUGGUAGAAUUCCAGGUGUAGCGGUGAAAUGCGUAGAGAUCUGGAGGAAUACCGAUGGCGAAGGCAGCCAUCUGGCCUAAUACUGACGCUGAGGUACGAAAGCAUGGGGAGCAAACAGGAUUAGAUACCCGUGUAGUCCCUGUCUCUUAUAC
Molecule: ribosomal RNA, 305 nt
Filed under: uncultured bacterium
Lineage: Bacteria
Description: partial 16S ribosomal RNA
Rfam family: Bacterial small subunit ribosomal RNA
Source: RNAcentral